UAGGGAAUUUUCCACAAUGGGCGAAAGCCUGAUGGAGCAAUACCGCGUGCAGGAUGAAGGCCUUCGGGUCGUAAACUGCUUUUAUGUGCGAAGAAUUUGACGGUAACACAUGAAUAAGGAUCGGCUAACUACGUGCCAGCAGCCGCGGUCAUACGUAGGAUCCAAGCGUUAUCCGGAAUUACUGGGCGUAAAGAGUUGCGUAGGUGGCAUUAUAAGUGGAGCGUGAAAGCGUGCGGCUCAACCGCAUUAUUGCGUUCCAAACUGUGAAGCUUGAGUAUGGGAGAGGUAGAUGGAAUUUCUAGUGUAGGAGUGAAAUCCGUAGAUAUUAGAAGGAACACCGAUGGCGUAGGCAGUCUACUGGCCCAUUACUGACACUAAGGCACGAAAGCGUGGGGAGCAAACG
RNAcentral lists this ribosomal RNA (403 nucleotides) under uncultured Candidatus Saccharibacteria bacterium. Its description in RNAcentral is "partial 16S ribosomal RNA". It matches the Rfam family "Bacterial small subunit ribosomal RNA", at positions 355 to 774 of the family's 1533-position model. The record is from RNAcentral. Lineage: Bacteria; Candidatus Saccharimonadota.